Molecule: ribosomal RNA, 432 nt
Filed under: Gallus gallus (chicken)
Lineage: Eukaryota; Metazoa; Chordata; Aves; Galliformes; Phasianidae
Description: partial small subunit ribosomal RNA
Rfam family: Bacterial small subunit ribosomal RNA
Source: RNAcentral
AAACUGGGAUUAGAUACCCCACUAUGCCUAGCCCUAAAUCUAGAUACCUCCCAUCACACAUGUAUCCGCCUGAGAACUACGAGCACAAACGCUUAAAACUCUAAGGACUUGGCGGUGCCCCAAACCCACCUAGAGGAGCCUGUUCUAUAAUCGAUAAUCCACGAUUCACCCAACCACCCCUUGCCAGCACAGCCUACAUACCGCCGUCGCCAGCCCACCUCUAAUGAAAGAACAACAGUGAGCUCAAUAGCCCCUCGCUAAUAAGACAGGUCAAGGUAUAGCCUAUGGGGUGGGAGAAAUGGGCUACAUUUUCUAACAUAGAACAAACGAAAAAGGACGUGAAACCCGCCCUUAGAAGGAGGAUUUAGCAGUAAAGUGAGAUCAUACCCCCUAAGCUCACUUUAAGACGGCUCUGAGGCACGUACACACCGC